This 1288-nucleotide ribosomal RNA is filed under the name Salmonella enterica. RNAcentral describes it as "partial 23S ribosomal RNA". It matches the Rfam family "Bacterial large subunit ribosomal RNA", at positions 1660 to 2925 of the family's 2925-position model. Lineage: Bacteria; Pseudomonadati; Pseudomonadota; Gammaproteobacteria; Enterobacterales; Enterobacteriaceae. RNAcentral also lists the same sequence under 1 other name. The record is from RNAcentral.
CAGGUGGUCAGGUAGAGAAUACCAAGGCGCUUGAGAGAACUCGGGUGAAGGAACUAGGCAAAAUGGUGCCGUAACUUCGGGAGAAGGCACGCUGAUAUGUAGGUGAAGCGGUUUACCCGUGGAGCUGAAAUCAGUCGAAGAUACCAGCUGGCUGCAACUGUUUAUUAAAAACACAGCACUGUGCAAACACGAAAGUGGACGUAUACGGUGUGACGCCUGCCCGGUGCCGGAAGGUUAAUUGAUGGGGUCAGCGCAAGCGAAGCUCCUGAUCGAAGCCCCGGUAAACGGCGGCCGUAACUAUAACGGUCCUAAGGUAGCGAAAUUCCUUGUCGGGUAAGUUCCGACCUGCACGAAUGGCGUAAUGAUGGCCAGGCUGUCUCCACCCGAGACUCAGUGAAAUUGAACUCGCUGUGAAGAUGCAGUGUACCCGCGGCAAGACGGAAAGACCCCGUGAACCUUUACUAUAGCUUGACACUGAACAUUGAGCCUUGAUGUGUAGGAUAGGUGGGAGGCUUUGAAGUGUGGACGCCAGUCUGCAUGGAGCCGACCUUGAAAUACCACCCUUUAAUGUUUGAUGUUCUAACGUGGACCCGUUACCCGGGUUGCGGACAGUGUCUGGUGGGUAGUUUGACUGGGGCGGUCUCCUCCUAAAGAGUAACGGAGGAGCACGAAGGUUGGCUAAUCCUGGUCGGACAUCAGGAGGUUAGUGCAAUGGCAUAAGCCAGCUUGACUGCGAGCGUGACGGCGCGAGCAGGUGCGAAAGCAGGUCAUAGUGAUCCGGUGGUUCUGAAUGGAAGGGCCAUCGCUCAACGGAUAAAAGGUACUCCGGGGAUAACAGGCUGAUACCGCCCAAGAGUUCAUAUCGACGGCGGUGUUUGGCACCUCGAUGUCGGCUCAUCACAUCCUGGGGCUGAAGUAGGUCCCAAGGGUAUGGCUGUUCGCCAUUUAAAGUGGUACGCGAGCUGGGUUUAGAACGUCGUGAGACAGUUCGGUCCCUAUCUGCCGUGGGCGCUGGAGAACUGAGGGGGGCUGCUCCUAGUACGAGAGGACCGGAGUGGACGCAUCACUGGUGUUCGGGUUGUCAUGCCAAUGGCACUGCCCGGUAGCUAAAUGCGGAAGAGAUAAGUGCUGAAAGCAUCUAAGCACGAAACUUGCCCCGAGAUGAGUUCUCCCUGAGACUUUAGGUCUCCUGAAGGAACGUUGAAGACGACGACGUUGAUAGGCCGGGUGUGUAAGCGCAGCGAUGCGUUGAGCUAACCGGUACUAAUGAACCGUGAGGCUUAACCUU